This is an RNA transcript of Odontomachus brunneus, 3913 nucleotides long. It is a transcript of the gene named FGGY carbohydrate kinase domain-containing protein, with no coding region annotated. The transcript has 13 exons. Lineage: Eukaryota; Metazoa; Arthropoda; Insecta; Hymenoptera; Formicidae. The record is from RefSeq and is a predicted model, not a curated record.
ACAAUAAAUUGAACAAUUUAUUUUUAAACAAAAACGUUUUAUUUGUAGAUAAUACGAUUGAAUAGCUUAGAUACACUUUUAUUAAUCUUCAUAUACAUAAUAAACUGCAAUACGUAUUGUUAAAAAAGAAGACGCGAAAACCGAUUAAUUGUUUUUCUAAAGACAUUAAAUAUAGGACGAAAAAUUAUUUAAUUAUGUUAUUUUUCAUCAUACGUAUUAGCGUUGCUGUAUCCUGACUGUAAAUGCCAAUUAAUUAUUAAUAAUCAAAUACUAAACAAAGUUGUGAUAAAACUAUAAAAAAUUAAUUAUUUAUUUUCUCUCUCAAUGUGUUUGUAGGAUAUAAUUAAUUUCUUGACUGUCAAUUUUCUUCAGCAUUAUCCAUUUCUAACUUGUACUAAUCACAUGCGUCAGAUCAAUCAGGUGAGGUUGGAUCGCGUCAGUAUCAAGCAGUAUCAAGCGUACGGCUUGGUACAGCGCACGUGUAAAAGCUAUAAUGAUGGAACUGGUUUUAUGUCAUUGCUACGUGGCGUACUUUUUAUGUCAACUGUGCAAUCAACGUUGUAUAUUUCCCGUCACAGUUACACGAUGUCUCAAGGUGAACAUGUGACGACAUUGUGCUAGAUAAUGUCUAAUAUAAAUGCAUAGUAAAAUUGUGUUAACUACAUAGUGGAGAUGGAUAACUACUCAGUAGAAUUACAAGAUGGAAUUUAAAAUAGCUCCUGCCUAAGCUCUAUGUGGAAGGCUCAGUUGAUUCUAUUUGGUGAAAAGUAGCAGAUGUCAGUUUUAACACAAUUGCAACAAUCAUGGACUUUUUCGUGGGUGUAGACGUGGGAACAGGAAGCGUCCGAGCGGCUUUAGUCACCUCAAAUGGAAAAAUAAAGAAAGUGGCUACGUGUCCCCUUGAAAUAUUCAAUCCUGCUCCUAACUUCUAUGAGCAAUCUUCUGAUAACAUUUGGAGCGCAGUGUGCCACGUUGUCAAGUCGGUAGUCGCUGAUAUUUCCGCGGAAGAUAUUAAAGGCAUUGGUUUCGACGCUACUUGCUCAUUAGUGGCUGUAGACAAAACAGGCUCACCUGUGACAGUCAGUCUUACAGGUCAAGAGAAAUCGAAUGUCAUAUUGUGGAUGGAUCAUAGAGCGCACGAGGAAGCUGAGUUUAUCAAUGCUACAAAUCACGAUAUACUACAAUAUGUAGGCGGCAAAGUUUCUCUCGAGAUGCAAGCGCCGAAGAUGCUAUGGCUCAAGAAGAAUUUACCCGCUUCCUGGAACUCAGCGGCAUUGCUAUUUGACCUACCAGAUUUCUUAACGUGGAAAGCCACUGAGUCCGAGGCGCGAUCUUUGUGUUCUUUAGUGUGUAAGUGGAACUACGGCAGUAAUCCCAAUGGUAAACAAGGAUGGGACGAAGAUUUCUUCGAGCAAAUUAAUCUACGUGAUCUUAAGAAAGACAAUUGGAGAAAAAUAGGUAACGACGUAAGGAUGCCAGGCGACGCGAUCGAGCCCGGAUUGUCGGCAAAAGCUGCAGCCGAAUUGGGAUUAUUGGAAAACACUCCGGUUGGGACAUCGCUGAUCGACGCGCACGCCGGCGGCCUCGGCAUGAUCGGGUGCUACGCAGCGGAUAUAUCUCCAAAUUUCUCCAACCGACUAGCUUUGAUCUGCGGUACUUCGACGUGUCAUAUGAUAGUGAACGAGAAUGAGAUAUAUGUGAACGGCGUCUGGGGCCCGUAUUACAGCGCAAUGGUGCCCGGUCUGUGGCUCAACGAGGGCGGUCAGAGUGCUACCGGGAAGCUGCUCGAUCAUGUCAUCGACACUCACCCGGCGACGCCGGGAAUCCUGAACAGUUUGGCCGGCAACAAACACAUCCAACAACACCUGUCGGAACUGUUGCACGUGAUGGCCGAGCAAAAGAAUCUGCAGAACGUGUCGUAUCUGACGAAGGACAUACACGUAUGGCCGGAUUUCCACGGUAAUCGCUCGCCUCUUGCUGAUCCAACUCUGAAAGGAAUGGUAGCCGGAUUAUCCUUAUCAGUGGAUCAGGAGAACUUGGCGUUAUUAUACUUAGCGACAGUGCAAGCAUUAACGUACGGUACAAAGCAUAUAAUAGAAGCCAUGACGUCUGCCGGACAUAAUAUCGAGACUAUAUUAGUUUGCGGUGGGCUGAGUCAGAAUCCACUAUUCAUCCAAAUACAAGCCGACGUGUUGGCAUUGCCUGUACUUUGUCCCUUGGAACGGGAAUCGGUCUUAAUCGGCUCCGCGAUUCUCGGAGCGUGUGCCACGAAACAGUGUUCUAUGCAUGAGACUAUCAAAAGAAUGGCAGGGUCGGCGAAUAUAGUGAAACCGACAAACGACUGUUACAAGUAUCAUCUUCGAAAAUAUCACGUGUUCAAGAAAAUGGUUCAGGAUCAACAGGAUUAUAGAAGAUUAAUGAGCGCAGAAAAGUAGUCUACUCUUAUUUUUUAUAUUAUUUUAAUGUAAACGGGUUGAGAACAGUGAAAGCUAUCCAGAAGCUUCAUCAAAUCCGGAAGUUUACACUAACGCGAUAUAUUAGGCGAUACGGUUUGUGAAGAUACACGUGAAACAAAGAAAACCUGCCGGGAAAUAUCGAUAUUUCUCAUGAAUUACUAUUUCCAUCAUAGUCGUAACCACAGACUUCUAUAUGAUACUUGCAUUGCUAUCAGGCACACUCAGACAUGAUGCACAGGUAAGUCCUGUCGCCAUUUUUCGGAAAGGCAAAAUGAGAGAGUGUAAAAGAAACGGAUUCAAGACUUAAAAAGAGAGAAAAAGAAUGAAGAGAAAGACUGAAAAAAGGAGAAAACACAUAAAACAAAGGAAAAAGCUCAUAACGAGUUUUGGCUUUCAAAUUAAUCAAUUGGAAUGGAACAAUCGAUAUUUGUACUUCCCCAAAAUAUGAUUAUCAUUCCCACUAUAUUUCCACCUCACAUUAAUUUCUCGUAUUUACAGAUGUUAGCAGUCUAGGUAUCAUAUAGCUGUGUUGUAACACACACACAGUGGCGAAUGUUCUUCUUCGUAGUCAAUCAACCUUAAGAUCUGGAAAAAGAUACUGCUUUUAUUAGUAUAUAUUUUUUUAUAGUCGUUUUAAUCUGUAACUACAUUGUUGUGUGUAAAAAUAGAAAGAUAUACAUAUGGAAAUUUUGCUACCAACGAUAUUCUGUUAUAACGACCAAUAGAGAGAAACUAUAAUUUUAUUGUACUGAUUUUAUAUUAUACAAAAAUCUUUUUAUUUACAAAUUAGAUUUUUUGUUAAUAUUGAUAUAAGCAUUAUUUGCGCUAUGGAACAAUCUAGUAUCAUUUCCAGCCUAUUAUUUUUUUUAAUAAUAUGAGAGUGAAGCAAUGAACUAAAAGAUUUCUCCUGUUUGAUAAGAGUAUAAACGUCAAUAAAAUAGAACGUUACUGCAAAGAUACUGACAAAUCGGAUUAUUAUUCAACUACUUACCAAGAAUGAUCUACUUACAUGUUUAAAAACUGUAGUCCUGCAUAAGAAUCAUUCUUUCCAUAUAAAUAACCAAAGAAAAAAAUCACAAGGUUAUUACGACAAAUAAUGUCUAAUAAGACGUGUUGCUUAAUCAAGAAUUAGUAUAUACACAUAUUCUGGUACGUGUCAAAUGAUUUGUUUACUUGAAACAACGUACGAAAUACUUAUAUUUAUAUUGACAGCCCUGUGGUACAAUUUGAGCAAAAGCACUGUGCUUCACUAUUACAUCGCAUCAUCCUUCAUGAUGUGAAUUAUAUCACUAAGUGUGUUAUCUACUUUCAUUCUUAUACACUAAAUAAAUCAGUUCUCCGAUUUUAUCGUCGGAUAAAUAUGCUAAUUAUAACUCUCCCUUACACAUACAAAACGUAUUUUGCAUUGUAGUUCCACGAAUCUGCGAGAAAACUCACUAAAUCACUUUUUUCUCUUA